GAUGAACGCUGGCGGCGUGCCUAAUACAUGCAAGUCGAGCGAACGGACGAGAAGCUUGCUUCUCUGAUGUUAGCGGCGGUCGGGUGGGCAAAACGUGGAUUACCUACCUAUAAGCCUGGGAUUAAUUCGGGAAACCGGCGCUAAUACCGGAUAAUAUUUUGAACCGCAUGGUUCAAAAGUGAAAGACGGCCUUGCUAUCACUUAUAGAUGGAUCCAUGCUGCAUUAGCUAGUUGGUAAGGUAACGGGUUACCACGGCAACGAAGGAUAGCCGACCUGAGGGAGUGAUCGGACACACUGGAACUGAGACUCAAUCCAGACUCCUACGAGAGGAAGCAGUAGGGAAUCUUACGCAAUGGGCGAAAGCCUGACGGAGCAACGCCGCGUGAGUCAUGAAGGUCUUCCGAUCGUAGAACUCUGUUAUUAGGGAAGAACAUAUGUUUAAGUAACUGUGCACAUCUUGACGGUACCUAAACAGAAAGCCACGGCUAACUACGUG
This 497-nucleotide ribosomal RNA is filed under the name uncultured bacterium. RNAcentral's name for it is "partial 16S ribosomal RNA". It matches the Rfam family "Bacterial small subunit ribosomal RNA", at positions 28 to 507 of the family's 1533-position model. The record is from RNAcentral.